Molecule: ribosomal RNA, 636 nt
Filed under: uncultured bacterium
Lineage: Bacteria
Description: bacterial SSU rRNA
Rfam family: Bacterial small subunit ribosomal RNA
Source: RNAcentral
UCCUGGCGGCGAGCGGCGGACGGGUGAGCAAUGCUUAGGAAUCUGCCUAUCAGUGGGGGACAACCCGGGGAAACUCGGGCUAAUACCGCAUACGUUCUGAGGAAGAAAGCAGGGGAUCGCAAGACCUUGCGCUGAUAGAUGAGCCUAAGUCGGAUUAGCUAGUUGGUGAGGUAAUGGCUCACCAAGGCGACGAUCCGUAGCUGGUCUGAGAGGACGACCAGCCACACCGGAACUGAGACACGGUCCGGACUCCUACGGGAGGCAGCAGUGGGGAAUAUUGGACAAUGGGGGCAACCCUAAUCCAGCGACGCCGCGUGGGUGAAGAAGGCCUGCGGGUUGUAAAGCCCUUUCGUCGGGGAAGAAAUGUUCCGACCUAACACGUCGGGAUCUUGACGUUACCCGAAUAAGAAGCACCGGCUAACUCUGUGCCAGCAGCCGCGGUAAUACAGAGGGUGCAAGCGUUAAUCGGAAUUACUGGGCGUAAAGCGUGCGUAGGCGGCUCGUUAAGCCAGAUGUGAAAGCCCCGGGCUCAACCUGGGAACUGCAUUUGGAACUGGCGAGCUAGAGUUUGGUAGAGGGGAGUGGAAUUUCAGGUGUAGCGGUGAAAUGCGUAGAUAUCUGAAGGAACACCAGUGG